Molecule: long non-coding RNA, 919 nt
Filed under: Phoenix dactylifera (date palm)
Lineage: Eukaryota; Viridiplantae; Streptophyta; Magnoliopsida; Arecales; Arecaceae
Description: long non-coding RNA (PDAC_LNC017057)
Source: RNAcentral
GCUCUCUCCUUUCUUCUCAAAAUCAGGGGAGAGCUCGUCUCUCUUCUUUUCUUCUUUGGAUCAGAGAGUUCUAAAUCAACAUAGCUGCCCAAUGUAAAGAUAGAGAUAAAAAUCAACAAACACGGAAGUUAGUAUGCAUCAGCUUAUAGAUGACAUGGUAUUUUCUCAACAAUGAAAAUUAGAUAUUUCAAAUCAAGAACCAACUUAUGUGCUAGAAUGAAGACGAUUACCAAUUUGCAAAUCAUGCUUCAUCGACUUGGAGAGGAUGAGAUGAUCAUUGAUCUGUCAAUGAACAUUUGGUUGAGAAAAUGAGCAAAUCUGAUUAAAUGCCCAAAAAAAGAAUCAACAUGCUCAUAUGUGCCACAAUUGGAUUUAAGCAUAAGCCAUGCCUUCAUUCGAUUUGAAAAAAUAGCCUUGAAGGAGAAAUUCACCAAUGGAAGGAACUUCCCAGGAAAAACCAAGUCAUAAUGAAUUGAAAAAAAGCUCAUGGUAAGCGAUCAGGUAUUCCUUGGCGAACCUACCACCUGAACCACCCAACUCAAAACCUCGACUUGCACCGACCACUAUAAUAACAACCUGUAACCAAUGAACUCGUAUACGAAAUUGGAUAUGGGGCUUGAUAAGGAUGGCAGUAAGUGAAGAUGGAGGAAGAGAUGGUGAGUUAAACUUCCAAACAACGAGAGAUGAGGUUAUCUAUAAAUAAAUAAUCCAGCAACUCCAUUAUAGUCACCACAAGAAAAAAGAUGCCAUUAGAGCACAAAUAUACAAGCUCAAAUAUCCACAGUACGUAUGUUCAUUAAAUUAUACUUACUGCUAAUUAGUUAUAAAACCAGAAGUAUGACUUAUACCCACUCAGAAAGAAUACGAGCUUUGUCAGGGGUACCAACACCAACUGCAAUUAGUUUAACGCCAGCUAAAU